RNAcentral lists this small nuclear RNA (104 nucleotides) under Carlito syrichta (Philippine tarsier). The record is from RNAcentral. Lineage: Eukaryota; Metazoa; Chordata; Mammalia; Primates; Tarsiidae.
GUGCUCAUUUUGGCAGCACAUAUGCUAAGAUUGGAAUGAUACAGAGAUUAUCAUGGCCCCUGAGCAAGGAUGACAUGUAAAUUCAUGAAGCAUUUCAUAUUUUU